This is a long non-coding RNA of Cavia porcellus (domestic guinea pig), 3401 nucleotides long. RefSeq lists it as uncharacterized. Lineage: Eukaryota; Metazoa; Chordata; Mammalia; Rodentia; Caviidae. The transcript is spliced from 2 exons. The record is from RefSeq and is a predicted model, not a curated record.
UCCCGGCCUGGGUGCAGAGCUGUCAGCAAGGCUGGGCCCCUUCUCCAGUGAGGGCGAGCAGAAGACAACUCAGCUCCAGGGUACCUGAGCUCCCUGGCCUCCAGCUCCAAGGAUACUUGGGGAGGGACCCCUCAGGUCUGUGAAUUUGGAAGCCUCCGAAGGAGCUGGAGCCAUGGAUCCCUUCAAUGUGGGAGGUGCUUUCCCCCAAGCACACUGGCUGACAGGGUCACCCUGGCCAGCAGACAGUUGAGGUGGGGGAUGAGGGAGGGAGCUGGCCCAGCAUCAAGGGGGCCUGUGCCCCCCCAGCCCACACCUUGCCCUCUUCCCCACCCCCUCUGCAGAGGGUGCUGGGAGCAGGCGGGACAGGUGCGGCCCACAGACCUGGAGGCCUGAACUCCAGAGAAACAGCUCAAGGGAUUUGGCAAAGCUUGUGUUAUUCCAGCUCCAACCUCUGGUACCAUCUCAUGUGGCAACAGCAGGAAGAGGGGCUAGGAAAGGGGCCCCAGCCUUCCACAGACCUGCGGGAGGUCUGUUUGUUCAGUGCUCUCUGACCCCCCUCCACUUCCCUUGGGGCGCGCUGGCCCGGGUCCUGCACCAGGCCAGCAGCACCCAUAUAAGACACACCUGUGUCUGCCCCAUGGCUUGAAGGACGGGGUUCUCCACACGCCGCAGUCCUGGUAAUGUGAUGUGAAAAAUCACGACACGCAUCCAGUGGGACCCCACAUGAUUCUGAGAGUGCAAGAAAUCUGGAGCAAGAAAUCUGCUCCAGGGCCAUCGCCAGACAUCGCCCGAUGUGGCCCAGGUCAUCUGCUGGGCCUGCUUUGCAGAAACACAACUCGGGUCCCCGGGUCUGGGAGAGGAUGGGGGUACCCAGCCCUGAGGUCUGUGCCAAGGCCCCAGGGCACAGCCAAGAGCUGCAGGCAGCUGUCCCAGGAGGGAGCACAGGGCACUGGUCCAGCAGACAGAGCCACAGCAGGUGUGCACCGACCCCAGGGGCCUGGACGGGAAGACAGCUGCCUGCCCAGGAAGCCAGGCUGCUGCUCCUUCGGGCCCAGCCACAGGAGGUCAGCAGAUCCCAGCCCGAGAAUGGAGAUCACUGGAAACUUCAUCAGAGACUUCCCCGCACCAGGUCGCCGUCAGGGAACUCACGCAGGCCGGGCCUCUGUGCUCCCGGGAAGCUGCCCUUCACCGAACUCCUACAGAGCUCACAGCCCCAGCGCAGCUACUAGGACACGGAUGGUGGCUCUCACAGUACCUGGAACCCAAGCCUCUCCCUGGUGCCCGUCCAGUGAGCCAAGCUGACCACUUCUGGCGGAGGGAGUCCAGGCCCUGCAGGCGGUAGCCUCCCGGUGUCCUCAGAGACCCUGAGGGCAGACACUAGUUCCUGGGCAUCUCAGACUUUGGUCAUCCAGCAAAGCUAAGUUCCUCUGGGAGAAAACACUCUGGAGUCUCCAGCAGGGGAUGCAGCCACCCAGGGAAGCUGAGCUCAGGGGCCUGUGACCUGUGGUGUCCCGGACUCUGCUCCACCCCGGGCCUGGAGACUGCUCGCUGUGAAGUCACUGUUCUGUCAGUUUGGUGGCGGAGACAAAGCUGGAGAACAGUGACCGGUUAAUCGAGAAGUUACAAUCAAUGAGUCCCUCUGAGCUCACGUGGGGCAGACGAGGCUUUUUAAUUAAGAAAGAAACUUAAAGCACAAAGUUAAAGCAAGGGCCGAAGGGCAGUUCCCACCCUUGCGAAUCAGGGCAGCUGAGGAUUAUUGUUUCCUUAAGCUUCUGACUGACAUCUCAGCCAUCAUCCCUUCUGCACUUGGAAAAGCAGGAAAACAAAAGGCCGGAAUACCGGACCCUGACCGGAAGGAGACCAAAGUUUAACUCUUCACUCCCUGGUCUCCCUGCCCAGCCACUUUCCAACCUCCUCAGCCCAGCUCCUUACCCUUACAAAUACUCACGUACAGAGCUGCCGUCUGGACUUCUGAACUGUGUGUGUAGUUUUUGGCUCCCAGCAAGUUAAAAAGAAUUCAUCAAAGUUCCACUAUGUUUAAAGAUGACAUUGCUAUUUUGCCAUCUGGAGAAAAAGUCUCUUAGCUGUCGAAGAGCACUCUGAGAAGCUCACAGGCUGGAGUAUUACACAGUCAGGAAAAAGAUGAAGAUCUGUAGCUGCUCACAGGAGUUUUCCACAAAGUAUGAAUUGUUCAGUGCUCAAAACCAUCGGAGCAUGUCUAGCCUAUGAUUCAGGGUUUGUAACGUCACUGAAAGGAAGUCCACCCUUGACAGGGGACUGAGGUUGAAAAAGGAGAAAAGCCUUUUUCCACCGCCAUGACCCUGUGAUUAUGAGGCAUAGUCAGAAGGGCUGAGGGAACAUAAUGAAUACAUGAACAAGGCCAGCACGCAUGGAAAAGUAAAAGUUAAAAACUUGCACCGCAGGCACGGGGCGUGAGCCCAGUGGUCGGCCUAGGGCGGUGGGAUGCCAGCUGACUACCCUCUGCCUGCGAGGGCAGAGCUCGGACCUGAGGGAAAGGGAGGCCGGGGGGGGAGGUCCCUGCGCGCCCCCCAACAAGGCCUACACCCACUGCCCCAGUGGACUCCAUCUCAGUGCCCUCCUGGCAGAGGGCGUGGAGAGGACCCGCAAGCUGCUCCAGGUUGCACAGCUCUCCCGGGGCCACAGGGAAGCACCACAGCUCAGGCAGAAGUUGGGCUCCACCCUCGGUGUCCUCUCCCUGCUGCCCCACCAGAAGCCUUGGUCAGUCCUCCCGCCUGCGUGCCUGGGUUUCUAGCUGCGCUGUCGGCAGCAGCUCCAGAGAGAAAGGCUGCUUGGACGGGACUCUGCCUGCCGCAUGCAGAAAAACGAGAGAGGACCGAGCGCCUUCUGCCUAGAGAGGCUCUGGUACAUGCGAGUGGCAAUAUUUGACCGCACUGAAGAGAAUGGCACUGCCAAGCUGAGAAAAGAUGAGGAAGCAACCUAAAUGCGUGGGACUGACAGAAGCCAGUCUGAAAAGCCUGACUCAGGCACAGUGGUAUCCCACCUCAGAUUGUGGAUUUAAUUUGCUUUAUGAUUUGGGAGAAGACGGCUGUCUGCAUGUUUGUGGGGGAAGAUGGUCACGGUUGUUUGUCCACCAGUGUGGAGUUUGUGAUCGGAUGCAAAAUUCUGCCAAAUGCCUUUUUUUUUUUGGUGAACUGAAUAGUUUGCACACAGAAGCUUUUGUGAAUGGCAGUAUGACCGUAUAUGACAUUCCAGAAAAGCAACACCAUGGAGAUAGUAGAACAUCUGUAGUUGCCAGGGGUUGAGGAAAAGAGGAAUAAAUAGUUGGAGCAUAGGUUUUAGGACACUAAGAUCCUUUUGUAAAAGACGAAAUGCUACAACCCCAUCAGUAAAUGAACAGUAAACUGAAUAUGCUCUUUCUA